This 490-nucleotide ribosomal RNA is filed under the name uncultured bacterium. RNAcentral's name for it is "partial 16S ribosomal RNA". It matches the Rfam family "Bacterial small subunit ribosomal RNA", at positions 30 to 507 of the family's 1533-position model. The record is from RNAcentral.
AUUGAACGCUGGCGGCAUGCCUUACACAUGCAAGUCGAACGGCAGCAUGAUCUAGCUUGCUAGAUUGAUGGCGAGUGGCGAACGGGUGAGUAAUACAUCGGAACGUGCCCUGUAGUGGGGGAUAACUAGUCGAAAGAUUAGCUAAUACCGCAUACGACCUGAGGGUGAAAGUGGGGGACCGCAAGGCCUCAUGCUAUAGGAGCGGCCGAUGUCUGAUUAGCUAGCUGGUGAGGUAAAGGCUCACCAAGGCGACGAUCAGUAGCUGGUCUGAGAGGACGAUCAGCCACACUGGGACUGAGACACGGCCCAGACUCCUACGGGAGGCAGCAGUGGGGAAUUUUGGACAAUGGGCGAAAGCCUGAUCCAGCAAUGCCGCGUGUGUGAAGAAGGCCUUCGGGUUUUAAAGCACUUUUGUCCGGAAAGAAAUGGCUCUGGUUAAUACCUGGGGUCGAUGACGGUACCGGAAGAAUAAGGACCGGCUAACUACGUG